GCAGCAACCUCGAGCUGAAUAACGACGGCACCGGCAGCGAUCGGCCGGCGGGCGUGGCGCGCAACUCGCUGAACCUCCCGGCGCGCAAGAACGUCGACGCGCGCUACUCGCGCCGCUUCACCAUCCAGGGCAACAUGGCCGCGGAGCUGAUCGCCGAGGUCAAGAACCUGUUCAACACCAUCCAGACCUCGGCGGUGAACGCGACGAUCCAGACCAACGCGCAGGGCGUGCCCCUGGCGGCGCUGCCGACGUCGUGCAGCGACCUGCCGCCGACCGGCGGCUACGAACAGCGGCAGUUCCAAUUGGGUUUCAAGUUCACGUUCUAGACACGACGGUCCACGAUGGACACCUGCGGUGGAGCAUCCGCCUUUAGGCGGAUUGUUCCUUCUGGCGAAAUGUCCCGAACAAUCCGGCUAAAGCCGGAUGCUCCACCGCAGGUGUCGAGGUUACGCAAUGCGUCGCAGUUCACUAGUCCUCAUCGCUGUCUUCAUCGCCGCGGCAUCCGCACACUCGACCGCGCAGCAUCAACUCCAACCCGUCGCGGCGCUGAAGGGCGCCCCCGCGCUGGAGCUGGCGCUGCGCAAGCUCGACACGGUCGGCAGCUUCAUGAUGACGACCGCGCACCCGGACGAUGAGAACAACGGGAUGCUCGCGUACUUCUCGCACGGGAAGGGCUACCGCACGACCCUAGUCACGGCGACGCACGGUGAAGGCGGGCAGAACGAAAUCGGCCCCGAGCUGUUCGUGCCGCUGGCGGUGCUGCGCACCGAAGAGCUGCUGGCGGCGCACCGCUUCGACGGCGCCGAACAGUUCUUCACGCGCGCGAUCGAUUUCGGCUUCUCCUUCAGCAUCGAGGAAACCUACGAGAAGUGGGGCCACCAGGAGAUCCUGGGCGACUACGUGCGGAUGAUCCGCACGAUCCGCCCUGACGUGAUCGUCGGCUUCGUGUUCGAUGGCGACGGCGGCGGCCAGCAUCACCAGGCCUCGUCUCGCUUGACGCUGGAGGCGUUUCGAGCCGCCGCGGACCCGG
Molecule: unclassified non-coding RNA, 1030 nt
Filed under: uncultured fungus
Lineage: Eukaryota; Fungi
Description: sequence contains 18S rRNA gene, ITS1, 5.8S rRNA gene, ITS2, 28S rRNA gene
Source: RNAcentral